GACGGAGGAUGCAAGCGUUAUCCGGAAUGAUUGGGCGUAAAGCGUCCGCAGGUGGCAGUUCAAGUCGGCGGUCAAAGACCAAAGCUCAACUUUGGAAAGGCCGUGGAAACUGAACAGCUAGAGUGCGGUAGGGGCAGAGGGAAUUCCCGGUGUAGCGGUGAAAUGCGUAGAGAUCGGGAAGAACACCGGUGGCGAAAGCGCUCUGCUGGGCCGCAACUGACACUCAGGGACGAAAGCUAGGGGAGCGAAU
Molecule: ribosomal RNA, 250 nt
Filed under: uncultured bacterium
Lineage: Bacteria
Description: partial 16S ribosomal RNA
Rfam family: Bacterial small subunit ribosomal RNA
Source: RNAcentral